This 507-nucleotide ribosomal RNA is filed under the name uncultured bacterium. RNAcentral describes it as "bacterial SSU rRNA". It matches the Rfam family "Bacterial small subunit ribosomal RNA", at positions 20 to 518 of the family's 1533-position model. The record is from RNAcentral.
GGCGUCAGGAUGAACGCUAGCGACAGGCCUAACACAUGCAAGUCGAGGGGCAGCACAAGGGAGUAAUCUGAGGUGGCGACCGGCGCACGGGUGAGUAACACGUAUGCAACCUGGCUGUAAGACGGGGAAUAACCCGGAGAAAUCCGGACUAAUACCGCAUAAUACUUAGAAUCCGCAUGGAUUUUAAGUUAAACAUUUAUGGCUUACAGAUGGGCAUGCGUAUGAUUAGCUGGUUGGAGAGGUAACGGCUCCCCAAGGCAACGAUCAUUAGGGGUUCUGAGAGGAAGGUCCCCCACACUGGUACCUGGGACACGGACCAGACUCCUACGGGAGGCAGCAGUGAGGAAUAUUGGUCAAUGGACGCAAGUCUGAACCAGCCAAGUCGCGUGAAGGAAGAAUUGUCCUAUGGAUUGUAAACUGCUUUUGCAGGGGAAUAAAGUGCAUCACGUGUGAUGUUUUGUAUGUACUCUGCGAAUAAGGAUCGGCUAACUCCGUGCCAGCCGCCGC